CAUUUUCUUUUAGUACCUGCCAUCUAGAAAACACUGUGGUGGCAGUGGGAUGAUAAGAGAUGAAUAAAUCCCUGCUGUGGAGUUUACUAUCUAGUUGAAGACGAGAAAUGUGUUAUGUAAACAACUUCUUAUAAUAAAAUAAAUGCUAUAAUAGAGACAUGCACAAAACGCUAUCAGACCACAGAAGAACACUUACUUCUACGUGGAGGAAAUAUGAAAGACCUCAAGGAAGAAAUGUCAUUUGGAAAGCACCUAGAAGGAUGAGUAGGCUCUCAAAAGACUGAGAGGGGACAGGAUUUCUGACUGAGCACAGAGACUGGACAGGAUGGAUAUGAGAGUAAAUAUCAAGUUCUGAAAAUGUAUGGCCCUAAAACACAGGAAGAUAAGAUCCUUGUUUGUCAAUGGCUUUGCAUUUGGAUGGAAUGGUAGAUAUACAGUGGCUAGCGAAUGAACAAUUCUGAAGAAAAAAAAAUCACUCUAAGGUUUUUAUCUCUUCUUCUGAAUACAAAGGCCAUAUAUCUACCCAUUUUCAACAUUUGUUCUUACUUAUAUACAAUUUCUAUUCCAUUUUAUGUAAUAAAUAAAAAGAAACUUUACAUAUUCCAGCUAGGAAUGAAGGUAAUCGGAAGUCCAAAUAAAUCACUUAACUACUCUCAGGAAGCAUUACCUUCCUAAGUUUAUUAUCUGAUAUUUGCAAAAUAUUGUUAAAUUACUAAAAAUUUAGCAAAUGGUUUUGUACAUGUAAGUCUUUCAGUAGAAAUUUGGAAUCUGGGUAACAUGAAGAGUUCUCCAAUAUCAAAAGGGCUUUUGUUUUAGAAAUUCAACAAGAACAAAAUAGAAUUAUUCCUAAAAGGAAAGCUUUCUGUACA
This is a long non-coding RNA of Zalophus californianus (California sea lion), 869 nucleotides long. RefSeq lists it as uncharacterized. The transcript has 3 exons. The record is from RefSeq and is a predicted model, not a curated record. NCBI's taxonomy places the organism in Eukaryota, Metazoa, Chordata, Mammalia, Carnivora, Otariidae.